RNAcentral lists this long non-coding RNA (1089 nucleotides) under Rhinopithecus bieti (black snub-nosed monkey). RNAcentral's name for it is "lncRNA (ENSRBIG00000046701.1)". The record is from RNAcentral. Lineage: Eukaryota; Metazoa; Chordata; Mammalia; Primates; Cercopithecidae.
GGGAGGAGCGCGGCGGGCGCCAGCGCCCCCGUGUGGCCGCGAGCACCGAGUCCGUAAAGGGCGGGCAAGCGCCGCCCGGGGCGUGGGUAACCGGGCUGGCAUCAAGGUAGGGGGCGGCCGGGCCGGGAGGAGGGGCGGCCCCGCCAGCGCUGGACCCAGCCCUGAAGUCGUUCCGGCUGUGCAGAUGAUGAGCGACCCAGGUCGAGGCGAAUCGGCAGCAGGAGCCCAGCCUCCUACAGUGCUGGAAUGACAGGCCUGCACUACUGCACCCGGUCGAGCUGUUCUCUCUUGAAAGCCACCACACCGCCAUCCUUCCUAGUCUCACCACAGCUGCCCUGGAGAGGUACCUGCUGGGUUUUGGGUGGCCUCUGCCUCUGGUCUCUCUCCUGCCAGUCGCCCUACCAGAGGUGGGGAGCCCGUCCUGCCCUUUCAUCAGGGGAGGACGACGGUCACAACUGAACCCAAAACACAGGUAAUGCUGGAGAAGCACUUAGCGCAAGGCCUGACCUCUGGUGCCCUUAAUCUACAGUAGCAGCUGGCAAUGUGCAGGUCAAAUCUCAGAUGCUGUCUGGGUCCCUGUGGGUAUGGACUGGUACAGCAAGUGAAUGUGUGAUGAGAGCUUGAGAAAGCAGGCCUCCCCCCGGCCUCCUUCCUGACUGCCCCUCCUAUCUCAUGCUCAGCUUCCCUUCCACACCUGUACUCAGCCUAGCCCCCAGCCUGCGGUGCCCGCUCCCUUUCCCCAACCAAUCCAAAUCCACAUCCUGGCCAUCCUUCAAGUCCCACCUGCUCUGGGAGAGGCUGCCCUCACGUGUUGCACCCAUCGGCAAGGUAGGUGAUUAAAGAUGGGAAUGGACUGUACUGCUCAGCUGGCUGGAAACAGGGCUCGUCUAUGAGGAAAUGCAGACAGAAGACUCAACUCUGUCAGAGAGAAAGGAAGGCGCUGACUCAGUGGCUGAAAGGUUCAGAAGAAGAGUGAUUUUCAGACAAGAAAUUGCAUCCCCUGCCUAUCUUGGUCCAAUAACAAUCCUUCUUGUAAACAUGAACUGCUUUUCCUAGAAAGAACAACAAUAAUAUCCAAGCACUCUUGCC